RNAcentral lists this ribosomal RNA (250 nucleotides) under uncultured prokaryote. RNAcentral describes it as "partial 16S ribosomal RNA". It matches the Rfam family "Bacterial small subunit ribosomal RNA", at positions 524 to 773 of the family's 1533-position model. The record is from RNAcentral.
UACGUAGGGAGCGAGCGUUAUCCGGAUUUAUUGGGUGUAAAGGGUGCGUAGACGGCUUUGCAAGUUAGUUGUGAAAUCCCUCGGCUUAACUGAGGAACUGCAACUAAAACUGUAGAGCUUGAGUGCGGGAGAGUAAAGCGGAAUUCCUAGUGUAGCGGUGAAAUGCGUAGAUAUUAGGAGGAACACCAGUGGCGAAGGCGGCUUUCUUGACCGUAACUGACGUUGAGGCACGAAAGUGUGGGGAGCAAAC